AGAUAGCCAGACCAAAUACCAUAUCUGGGGUGAAGAGAAUUGCUGACAGUAGAGAGCAUAUCUUAGAACAAACCACAUCCUGAGCACAGAAUGCAAACUGAGUAAAUAGUUCCUGUUAAUUAGCAGCAUGAAAAAUUCCUGAAUUAUCAAAGAAAGAGGAAAUGACUGUACCUUCUCACCCGAACCAUGCAAUCACCUCUCUGAUCUCAUUCAGCUCUAAAAUGCUGCGAAAUAGAAGUUCUGAUCAUGUCUGCUCUUUGCUCAGAAAAUAUCCUCUGAUGUACCAAUUCUUCACUGUCCAAAAUUCUUAACAAACAUCUAAAACCUGCCACUCUUAAGUUUUCAGACUUAUUUCUUAUUCCUUCACUUACCAGUGGUCUGGACCACUGUUAGGUAAUGUAAGUUCUGUGAUUUGUCUUCCAAGUGAUUUUAAUGCAAUGUGGUUCUCAAACUGAAAUUAGUCUGGGAUGAGGCUCAAGAAUUUACAUUUCUAACAAGUUCCUGGGUAAUGCUUAUCAGCAGGACCUUACUUUGAGAUCCACUAAGAAAAACAAAUGACCCAGGCUGACAAUGCAGUUCUACAUUGCACUUUAAGUCAAAGACUGAUUGCAAUACACGGGCUUACUUGCCAACUUCCCCAUUAUGAGAGGGGUUCUAGUUUAAGGUCACAGCCUGAGUCCUCUGAUCAGAUACUGUCUUAAUAUCAUAAAAUCUCCAACAGUAAGCUUUUUGAUACAUUGUACAUCCCCUUCUGUGUUAUGGACUUUAGAUACAUAAAUAUGUGUUGGAUCAUUAGAAUGGAAGAGGGAGGGAAGAGAGAUGGAGGAUGGGAUGCCUGGAGGACAGAUGCACAGGUUUAGCAACUGAGGGUUGAUUUCAGCAAGAAACUCAACUUCUCACAAAGAAACUGCUCUGGCAUAUGCCAUUAUUGUGUGAGACCAUACUCAACAUAUAAGACAUUUUAUUAGGUGGGAUAACACUGUGAUUCAGAACCUGAGUGUCUGGUUAUCAAUAGUAUUGUGUUCUUUAAUAAGCAGAGCCUUUCACAAAGGAAACACUACUAUUUGGAUCAAGUAUAAUGGGGUGUAAGGGAGAUGUCAUUUGUAUCAAGACAAAUUGUUUACUUUAUAAAAGAGCCACUGGGUAUGUGAAGCUAGAAAAUCUCAUCCAUUUAAUAAAUUCCUUUGCAAAUGUCUUUUCCUUGAGUUUCUACUUUGCAGCUGCAGCAUAAUUUGAAUGUUUGUUCACAUUUAGGACAAUUGUGCCUUCUGGUUUUUUGCUUUCCUGCAUUCAAAUGUGCUCACAUAUCAACAUUGCACAUUUUCUCUCUGCAUCUUUCAUCUGCAUACAUCAUCCCGUGAUUGGCUUGGUAAAUUUAUCCCACUUUUCUUGCUAAAAUAACUGUUCCUGCUGUCUGUUUUCUGCCUACUCUUUGAUUUAUUCCAGAAAUUGGGCUUGAUGCCUACUUUUAGAGCUCAGUGUGAAAUUUGUUCUGUAUGUUUUUAAACCAAGUUCCCACAUAUUUUUUCUGUUUUGUGUUCUGUAAUGCUAUAAACUUCAAAAAGCUCAUUAUAUCCAUGUAUUAGCAUAAAUAAUAAUGAAGGAUGAUAACAUGAAUCUUGAAAAUUUACUUUUAAAAAUUAUUUCACAUUUUAACUUAAUAGUGAGACAUUAAAGUUUUCAUGUCUUGCUAUGGCAUGCCUAAUGUAAAAUAAGGACAGUGUUAAUGUUGCCAGCAAGGUUGCCGUAAAGACUGGAGAUAAUCUAAAAAAUAGCUAGUUCUUACAUGCUUAUGUGCUGAACAUAUUUAGGUGUAAAAACUUGUGCAGGCCUCUAAGCCAACCAGAGCCCAAAAUAUGGUUUUAGAAGUUAAUGAAGAUUGUGUUCUUCUUCUCCAGUAUAGUACUACAAGGCUAAGCAGUUUUUAUUUUAGACUCGAAGAGAGGGACACAGUUUAGAAAAUGUAUCCCAAAUUUAGUCAUGUGAGAUUUACAAAACUAACUGGAAAAUUCAGCAUACUUUUUCAUUUACACAGGAUAUUUGGUUCUAUUCAUUGCUGAAGAUUACACACAUAGUAAACCAGGCCCUUUUUCCAAGAGUGACUCCUUCUGUGUCAAAGUAUAAUGUUAGCAAAUUGUAUUUUGUCCCCCAUCUUGUUAUCUAGACACAGUUUGGGCAGAAGUUAAAAUAAAGAUUCUUUAAGACAAAGAUUAGCCUGCAUAAAUGUUCAUGCACUUUUUAUGCCUGAUUUUAGUGAGCUCAAAGGUAUUCCUUUCUUUCUUGUCCUACAAAAAUCUAUUUUUAUAGCCAAUUAGCCCAAUGUGGCCUUACCCCACAGGCAAAAGAAAUCAAAUUUUUGUCAAUAGGUGGUUCAUUUGCUAUAGGAUUUGUGCAAAUAAUUAAUUUUCCUGCUGCUUUUUGUGUGUUUUGGAGGUUGAAUUAUUGCUUUGUUUUGGGUUAACCUCAGUAAUUUCUCAGCAGAAAUUCAGAGCUGCCUACUUAACAGGAAUAUAAAUCCUCUAUGUGUCCAUGUGUUUUGAGGUAUAACUUACUACUUUACUCUUAUUUUUUACAUCAGAAGUAAUUUAGGAGCUAAGAACUACUGGUGCUUUUUGAGUGCUGUGAUCGUUUCAGACAUCUGUAAGGUUACUAAAAUUUAAUUGUGGAGUGUUGUGUUUAUUUGUCAUGUCUCAGAGACAUAUCAGUGUCAAAAUAAAAAUCAUAUUGAUGAGGCCAUUUCCAGCCCCAAGGAGACACACAUACAGUGCAUGGUGGCGGAGUGGUCCACCCACUCAGCUCAAGCCUUCACAGCGGCACAGUUAUUUCUGCACAGGCCAUUCUAACUGCCAUUGCAAUUUCUUAUGAAGUCACCUGUUAAGUACUUUCUGAAAGGAACAGAAAUAUUCUUUGUUGUAUAAUAAUUUCUUUAUAAAAGAGUAUCAGUGGGUUUAUUCUAGUGCACAUUUUUGAGUAUUUCUUGGCACUCUAAGUAUUACCCAAGGACAAUUUACUAGGUAGUAAAAGGAUGCAGCUUGACAAGAAUUAUAGGAGAAAAUAAAAGGAGGGAAGGCGUGUUGGCUUUUAUUUUGGUCUUGCUGUAUUCUCAUCAUGUGCUAGAAGUUUUCACCUAAAAUAUCUUAUUUGUACAUAAAAGCUAAGUAUAGGGAAGAUAGUAUCAUUUCAAACAUUAAUGCCAGAAUUCUUUACCAUUUCAAUGUAAUCUGGGAUUUAUCAAUCAAAUAAAGUACACAUUUGACAAAAUAAUUGUAGUAAUAUGCAAUGCCUGUCUCUCUGGUACUUCAAAUACUUGAGGACUUUGUUGGUUGUUGGUUUUUAUGGUUAAAAACAUGAUAGCAAACAUGUAAUAAAUAAGUAUAUGCCAUUGUAGAGGAGGCAUUAUUUUAUAUUUACCUUCUUAAGGUCAUUGCCUGAGCCUGAGAAUUAAAUUGAUAUGAUUGAAUAACAGAAGAAAAAUGCAUAAAUUUAUUCAAUAUUUGUUUUCUUUUACCUGCUGUUUUUCAAGUGCCUUUGUCUCAAAAUUAUCCCUGUACCAGACUGGCAUAUUUUGGGGUGUCAUAUUCUGCCUUCUUUCACCAGGAAUGUUUUAAACAUUUCACCUAUGUUACCUCAUUUACUCCUUUCUAUAAACGAUGAGAAAAAAUAUUAUACAAUUACGGAGAGAAAUCAUUAAAUCUAUUAUCAUAGUAGCAGAUUCCAGGAUAUUUUCUCAAUCACAGAGGAAGCUCACAACACAAUUUGUUGAGUAUGUAGCAGAUAUGAACAAUAUGCUGGCAAGCAUGUUAUUGUUUGUCAUUUACUGGUCAAGUACAGACUUCUUCAUUCAACAAUUGGAGAGUACCCACUCUCCUCAAGUGCAUGUAUAAUAUUUUUAAGUUAUGUGCUAAGUCAUAUGUCAAUUCUGAAAUGCUCUACCCAUUUCACAGAUGAAGAAUCUAAGGUAUGGAAAGUUAAAUAACUUGCUGUAAAACACAGAGCUAGUAUGUGGCAGAGCAGGACACAAACUCAGACAGUCUGCCAUCUGAGCCAUUCCACUACUGCGUUAUCUGUCGAUACUGGUUAUCUUACAGGUGGGAAACAAAGAGUUGGUCUUUAAGAGAUAAUUUAAACUUUUAUAUCGGGGAGAGAGCUAGAGAUUAAAUCUACUUUGUUAGGUUAUAUUUUGACCCAAGGAUGCUGCCAAUUUGAUAUUACUCUUGAUCUUAGCCAAAAGGCCAAGAAGUGAUAGACACUGCCAAUUUGAGAUUAACCAACAUGACCUAUGUAGCUAGACUUAGAAGAAAACAAUUCCAACCACAAAUUAAAAAUAGCUUUAAAUGAUUGUUAAAUGUUUAAAUAGCAAAAGCAAAGCAAGAAUGACACAGUUUGAGUUAUCAAUAUUACCUAAAUUUCCUUUAAUAAAUAAGACCUGAAUUAUUAAUCAUGUUUAGGGCCUAUGUUUUGAAUAGGAGGAUAUCCACUGGUGUUUUACAGUCACAUUAAACUCAUUAUUUAUAAUACAAAACUAAACUCAUAAAUGCCUCCCCCCAUCUGCUCCUCGCUCUUCUGCUGUUCUCUGUCCCCAUCUGUGUCACCACUACCUACACACAAAAUUGCUUCAAUUAAAAACCUAAACCUGGGAAUCAUCUAUGAAACCUCUUUGCCCCCCACCCUAAAUUUGAAUGAAUUUGUUGAAUGAAGUUUCAUAUUACCCAUCUAAUACUUUAAUGCCCUAGUUGGACAAUUACAGUCAAAGAGAGUGUGGAGGUCAGACCUUAUGCUCUGCUGAUAUUUUCUACUGUGUUUUGGUUUCUGGCCACAGCAUUCAAUUCCCAUGUAGAGUUUUUGUUGUUGUUGCUGUUGCUAUUGUUGUCAUUCGCAUUUUAUUGUUAAUGGUAAUGUUGGGUUGAGUGUAAAUACAUUAAUGGAAGGUCUACUGUAGAAAGGCUGAGAGGUUUUCUCUUCUCUAUGAAGAUAUUGUGUUGUAUAUGUUGACAAAUAGAGUGUUUUGCCUUUGGCACAGGCACUCUCAGCAGAAUCGCACUCUUUAAUUAUGUCCCCUGGGGGAAAAAUUGUUUCCUGUCAAGGCAGCUUUCCUAAUCAAAGACUUCCUGAGUCCUAAGUAAUAAGAAAUUCAAAUGUUUCUAACUGAAACGUAUAGGGGGGCUUAAUUGGGCAUACAUUUUAAUCUCCUUUGGGGAUCUAAAACUCUAAAUGUUACAUAUUAUAAAAUAUUUUAUAAGGGACACGAAGAAGGUUUCACACAGUUGAUCCAUUUUUAUUUAAAAGAAGCAACUGGUAAAGAACAUAGCAUUGGCAUUAAAAGCUUGAAUAAUUUAUCCCUUCCUUGACUUUUAAAUUACUGCUGCUUUCCUGCUAUUUUCCUUAUCAUCAUGUUUAAUGCACACUUAUUUCUAGAUAUGGAAAGUGGUGCAGAGGAUAUAGAGCAAGGAGCCAUGGGCAGGUAAACUGGGGGCCUGAGUUCCAAUAGGAUUUUAACAUUAAGAUGAACCCUGGCCCUCCAACCUCCCACCCCUAGGAAACAGUUAUAAGAAGAAUUAUGAAUUGAAUUCCAGAGAAGACCCUCAUCUAGUGGGCAGGAGAGGAAGAAGGAAUUAGCUGGGAAGUUCAAAGGACACCAGAGCUGGACACUAAUUUAUUCAGGACUAUUGAAAUAGG
Molecule: long non-coding RNA, 5676 nt
Organism: Phyllostomus discolor (pale spear-nosed bat)
Lineage: Eukaryota; Metazoa; Chordata; Mammalia; Chiroptera; Phyllostomidae
Exons: 2
Source: RefSeq, a predicted model, not a curated record